RNAcentral lists this ribosomal RNA (355 nucleotides) under uncultured eukaryote. RNAcentral's name for it is "SSU rRNA". It matches the Rfam family "Eukaryotic small subunit ribosomal RNA", at positions 594 to 945 of the family's 1831-position model. The record is from RNAcentral.
AUAGCGUAUAUUAAAGUUGUUGCAGUUAAAAAGCUCGUAGUUGGAUUUCUGGUUUGGUGCGCCUGGCCCACUACCAUUAGGUACGUGAGUGCCGGUGCGCGCCUGCCAUCCCUUCUAGAGAACGUCUCUGUCCUUCACUGGUCGGAGACGCGAUCUAGAUCUUUUACUUUGAAAAAAUUAGAGUGUUUAAAGCAGGCUUGCGCUAUGAAUACAUUAGCAUGGAAUAAUAAUUUAGGACUUUGUUCCUAUUUUGUUGGUUUCUAGGAACGAAGUAAUGAUUGAUAGGGACAGUUGGGGGUGCUAGUAUUCAUCGGCCAGAGGUGAAAUUCUUGGAUUCGAUGAAGACUAACUUAUG